Podarcis muralis (Common wall lizard) is the source of this 6868-nucleotide non-coding RNA. NCBI's taxonomy places the organism in Eukaryota, Metazoa, Chordata, Lepidosauria, Squamata, Lacertidae. The record is from RefSeq and is a predicted model, not a curated record.
UUUUGGCUUGUGCACCACUUUGAGGGCUUUCCUCAGGGCUGUGAAGCAGUUUAUAAACUUGUAAGCAACCGAAGUACAGCGAAACCGCAGAAAUCGUUUACUUGGGUGAUAAGCUUGAGACCAGGAACUUUUGUAAGCACCUUGGGAGCCUUUGUGUCUAAAAGAGCAGGUUACAAGAACAUUUCAAAAUGGUCUGCAGAAUCAGACAAAAUGUCCACUAGUGUAGCAUUCUGUUCUCAAAGGAGAUAGCUAGAUGUCAUAAGAAUAGUUAUAAUAAUAAUUUUAUUAUUUAUACCCCACCCACUCUGGGCGGCUUCCAGCACAUAUUAAAACAUAAUAAAACGUCAAACAUUAGAAACUUCCCGAUACAAGAUAUAGCUACAGUCACCAAUUUAGCUUGAAAAGAGGAUUAGACACAUUGGCUGUCAGUGGCUACUAGUUAUGAUGGACAUCUCCACUAUCAGGCAGCAUUCCUCUGAAUGCAAGUUGUUGGAGAACAUGAGAGUACAGUACCAUCAAAUUCAUGACCUGUUUGUCGGCUUCCAUAUUUUCAGGGUUGUGAGAACAAGUUGCCGUUGUCUGGUGCCAGCAUAAACACUGAACCUACUCAAGCCAGUUCCCCACGACCACUGAAGUCCACGCGGAAUAGCGCCAUAAUGGAAUCAAUUACCUGCAAAGAAAUAGUAAAGAGGGAGAGGAUGUGAAAGGAGAAUUUGAAAAUUCCUGGCUCCUCGUGGAAUUUGGCAGCAACAUAAUCAAGCAAUUCCAUCUGAUGUUCACCUUGAAGCACCAUGGAAGAAUGAUAAAAACAGGAAAAGCAGUUAGAAACCAAUAUGAAAGGGGGGAAGAAGUAAGUAGCUUGCUUAGAAAGUAGAAACUUGUGUUCCAGAGGAUUUGGCAGAAGCAUAGUUUUCCACCAACAAAAAUAUAUUGUAUCUUUCAUCUCAUGUAAUAAUAUUAUGGAUAAGGUUCCAUCCACAAAACGUUUAAGAUUUUUAAAAAUAUUAUGCUAUACUGAAGCACUUGAAGUGGCUUUUGCACAUCCAAAAAUAGCUUUUCACACAAUUGUUUGUUGAAGAAGCAGUGGAAAUCAACCUCACAUUUACAGCUUUAGUUGACUUUGAGCAAUGCUACUGUGGACUGUCUUCUGCAUUAUUUUUUCUUGAGGUAACUGCUACUUUUUCUGCUUUAGGCAAAGGUAACUAUCCAGAGCUUGGUAGGUGCUAAGGGAGCAUAUAAUUAUACCACUUGUUAUAAUUGCUGUUUGCUCUGAAUCAGCAGUAAAGCACAGGUUUUUGCAGGGAGAGCUCCAGAGCAAAAAAUAAAUAAAAUAAAAAUAAAAUUUACUUGGACCACAGACCUUAAAGCAUGGACUGUGCAUGGAAAACACAGGAAAGGUACAUGUGGAUAAGCCCUGUGGGCUCAUCCCAGUGCAGGUAAGCUUUAUACCCCAGACUUAAAUUUGUUCUGCUGAAACCUACUUUUACCCAAUGUAAAUUAGGUAAAAUAAUCAUAUACACUACAGGAUUGCAUAAGGACCACAACAACAAAAAUACAGAGUUCAUAUUUUAAAAUGGUAAUUCAUAAUAUUCCUGAUGGCCCCUUGGUACUGAGAAUUGUUUAAUCUUAAAGUGGGGAGGAUUUCCAUGCAAUCUUCAGUUGGAAUCUUACUUGUAUAUGCCCGUGCAUAUAAUACAUUGUCAAGAACUGCAUCAUGGUCUGCAUUGAAGCGAUCAGCAAUAUCACGAAGACGGUCUGGACGGCUGGGGUGUUUCCUAGUUAAGGUAUCUAGUUUCUAAUCCAGUUUCUGAGAUGUGGUAGCUGAAUUCCCAUACAAGCAAAAAUUCUUCUCAGCAGUUCUUCAUGCACUACAGUUAAAUAAAUGAAUGGUAUUCUUUAUACACCCACCCAUAAAACUCAAGUUUCAUAUAAAUGGCUCUUCAAAUCUUCUUAACACCACAAAACAUUUUUUUUUAUUGUCACCAUUAGGAAAAUCUUCCAAUUUAUUCUGUUAAAGCUGUAAUAUCUCAAAAGAAAGGAUACAAGGUGUUUUCUGUGUCAAUGAAAAUAAUCUUCCCACCAGUAUAGCCAUCCGUUCCAGGAAGCUGGGCUGUUACUAUAAAAAGGAGUGAACAAAUUUAAGCCCUACUACAUGCCAUUUUAAUACCUGGAAUUUUUCAUUAUUGAUAAUCACUAGCAGCUUUAUAGGAAGGCCAGUGUAAAUCCUCAAGACUACUUAGAAGUAUCCCAAGUAAUUUCUGUUCUUGACAAGCCCCCAAAGGCAUGAUCAAAAGCACACAACGUGGAAGGAAGUUCCAAGAAAGUGGAGGAACUUCCCUUUCCAUAGAGCAUAGCAGAGUUCACUGGUUAAUGACUCCGCCGUUAGGGCUGCCAUACAUCCAGAUUUUCCUGGACAUUCCUGGUGCUUUGUCCUGGGUCUUGUGUAAAAAAAACUCAACAACUUUUGGGGUGUCUUGGCUUUUACUUCUUGAAAUAUGGCAACCCUAUCCUCCAUUAGCUGAAGCAGAGAGCCUAGAAAACUGGGAAAAGGUCAAUUUUGUUCUAGCUGUUGAGAAACGAGAUUGAGGGUGUUGUUUUCUCUUCAUCUUCCCGUCCCCCCCGUACUAGCUGAGGAACCCAGUGAUAUGAUCCCUUGGGAGAUCUGCAGACCCUUGAGUCGUGCAGGUCCUAAGCCUCCAGCACUCUACCCCAACUCUGUUGGUAGUAGCCUCCUGCCUGCUUGGGCAUACCAGAAGCCUCAGCUGUGACACAUUCCUCCCCAUCUCAGCAGCACUCCUUUCCUUUGGCAGGGAGGUGAAUAUACACCAUCCUAACCUCUCCCAGGCAACAACAUUGGAGGGGUGGAUUGUACCCUAAGUUAAGUUAGAUCUGGAAAUUAUAAAUAACAUUAAAAUAGUAAUCAUAAUUAGUGGCAGUUUUUUUCACUUGUAAAACUAAUAGACUUUCAGGCCUUCAUCCUUAAAAUAGAUUAACCUUGAUGCAGAAAUAUUUAUAUUAAUUAUUAUUUUAAAAGCAAAUUACAAGUUUUUGGAAACAGAACAUACAGUUCUCAGGAUGGGUGUCAUAUACAUACCACAAAGAGUGUGGGAAAGCUGAGUUUUGCCGGUUCGGAAUUCUAAUUAAAAAUAUAAAGAAUUAAAUUUGCUAGUCAUAUGAAACAAUAUAGUCAGUAUUCCCCCCCCACCUGCCCCAAACACACACACACACACACACACACACACACACACAUUAUUUGGGCUGCUUUCUGCAAAAAGUAGAAUUGAACUCCCCAUGCAUCAGCUAAUGUUUAGCAAGUUUGUCUGAACACUGCACAAAGCUGGAUUAAGUUUAAGAAAUUUAGGGCAUAACUUAAACUGAUCUUGAAAGAAAUAUUUCUUUUAAAUUACCCAUUCACCUUUUUUACUCAUUUACAUGGCCCCACCAAAAACACUAAUGGCAGACAUCCCCAGCAAAUACAUGCACUACAAAAAUAGGGGUAUGCCCCCAAAUAUUUCUACAAACAAGCUAGAGUAUCGUAUCACCCAAACACGCAUUUGUAAUAGCUUAGGGAAGCGAACAUGUUCCAUGAUAUACUUUCACUCACCCCCAAAGGCUUCAGUAAUUGCCAUGCUUUCAAUUCCACCACCCAAGAGUUUACUGGAAGUGCAGAUAAGGGGAAGAAGUUAUGCAAAACAAGUCACAAAGCCAAGAAAGCAAUAUGAAAUAAACUUUUUGCUCUAAGGAAAGUGUGCCCAUGUUGAAAGACCCUGCAUGUGAUUUUCACAGCCUGUAGGGACAACAUGGGUUGCUAUUAGCUGGCUUCUAGCUUACAGGGAAUUGCUAUUCUUUUAGAUCUCGAAUAUACACUAUAGGGUUACUGUUGUGACAUCAAAUGACAACAUUUGUACAGUCAUUAAAACAAGAUAUGGACAAGCCUGUUGGCCAUAGAUGCAGCCCCUUUGCAAAAACUGGCAAAUAAACCAGAAAAUCUUCCAUUGUUUCCCAUUUCAUCUGAAUCAGGAAGCUAUAAUUAAAAUCUUCAGAACAAGCCACAAUAUUAAGCUAUGGUUUGAAGUUGGCUUAAUAUACUUGCUUGUUCUGAAGAAGCAGUAGAAGAGGAAGAUAUAAAUAAUUGGUUCAUAAAGUUUCUGAUAUUUAAAUAUUUUGCCCACAUUCCAACAUGGAGUUUGCUACACUUGUUCAUUGAAAUAAAUGAGCUUAAACCUGCCAAACUGUUGGACUCUAACCUUCUACCAUAUAUUGAUCUUUAGGCCACUUAUUUGUACACUACCGUAUAUAUUUUUUUAAAAAAGGAAGUUUGUGCUCUAAAUGUGGUUUGUACAUAUUUUCUCCUAUCUACUAAUUGCCACCCAUUUUGCCUAAUAAUAUAGUUGCCAACUGCUCUUUCUUUCUUAAAGUAUGAGGAGUAAACAACAUGGCUUGUCCUGUUAUUUGACUUCAUUCAUCUGGGAAAGAGCACAUCACUUGGGGAUCCAUUGCUCCUCCACCCCCACUACCAUGCCAAGAAUAUGGACACCUGUCCAAGUCAUCUCUUGUGCUGUAGGAGGUACUGCUUACAGAAAAGGGCAAUGGCCUUUCAAAAGAACAGACAGCUCUUCACAGUGCUGAUAGGCAGUUCAGUCAGAAGACUCAGAAGGCUUCCGCAUACUACUGAGGCAACAGCUCUCCCUAGCCACCACUGGGUACUCUGAAUUCUCCAGGGGAUGAAAAGCUGCCUUGUGUUUCCUGCCUCCCUGGUUAGGUUUUGACAACUGCUCCAGAUUUACAGAAUGUGCAAUCCUCCCGAUGUUGCUAGAAUACAACAACAACUUUCCUGCUCAUGGGAACCAACUUUCCUGCUGAUGGGAACUGUGGUCCAACAACAGCUAGAGGGACACAGGUUUCCCAUCCCUAGCCUACCCUUACUGAAUUGUCAGUUUUGACUCAAUUACUUGACUGGACUUCCUUUGUCUUGACCCUGCUCUUGGGAUUGCAUCCUCUGUCCUAUAAGGAGUGUCAGGACAUCAGCUUGGACUUCCCUGGGACCUUAAGUUGGGAGAAGACAGGAUAAUGGCCCUGGCAUCAUUAGGCUUCAAUCCUAUACACACACUUGCCUGGGAGUAAGGUCCAUUGAAUUUAACAGGACUUGUUUCAGAGCAGCAUGCAUAGUGUGACACUGUUAGCUAUUAAAUUGGGUCUGGAUAUAGAACUUGUUAGCAAACAAACAAACAACAAAACAAGCAGCAACAAUGAAAGCUUCUUGAAAUACUGAGUUAAAUAAAAAGCAGUGUUGGCUGUUUACUAACUCAAAUUCUUGACUUCCAGUGGUGAUAUGGAACACCAUCCUACGUUUCUCACUGUACUCAAAAGCUGUCAAAAAUCCUGGUUCCUGUAAGAAGCACAAAGUGGUUGAAACCUUAAUCAGCAUAAACAAUGAUCAAGGAUGAUGGGAGCUCUAGUCCCACAACAUCUAGAUGGCCACACAUUCCCCAACCCUGGUCUACACUAACUGGCAGCUGCAAUCCUAGAUUUCAGACAGGGGGUGUCUCCCAGCCCUAUCAGGACAUACUGAAGAUUGAACCUGGAACCUUUGGCAUGCUAAGCAUGUGCUGUAGUCACGACCCUUCCCUACUUAAUAGAGAAGAGUCCUCUACUUGCAGGGCUGUCUGGUCCAUCAGCUGACUAUAAGGUUGUGCUCAGUGGAAUGAAGAGAGAAGCAAUUUUUCAUGAUUCCCUCCCUCCCCCAAACUUCCAGAUCUACCCCAGAGUGUUAGGAGAACCCCCUAGAGGAGAUUUAGGAGGACACAGGAGGCUGCAGUGGGGAGGGGAUAUAGCUGGAAAUUGCUUCCCACCCAGUCCUGCUGAUAGAAGUCAAUCGACUGAUCAACACCAUUGGAUACAUACAACACAUUCUUUCUAAAUUUGCACAUAUGAAGUAGCAGAUGCAGGUGUGUGCCAUAUUUUGUCCAUUUUGUGAUGCAUUUCCUCUGUUUCUGUGAUAGCUGAUGUCUGAUUAGAAGGCAAUUUCCAACUACUGAACUAGUGAAUUAAUUACAUGUUUACUGCAUGUUUUGACAAUGAUCUCUAAAACAUGUGAAGCAGCUACACAUUAAUUUCACGAUGUGUUUACCAUGAGUACAAAUUGCAGAAAGCCAUGGUUCUCUUGCCACAUGCUUUCAAAGUUAAUGUGGUGAAACAAAUGCAUUGAACUGCCUCGCAAUGGCUCAUUAUAGAAAAACACAGCUUCCAUAAUAUGUGAAAUUGACCUCUAAGAUAAGUAUUUUGGACAAGAAAGUACUUAGCUAGGAAUAUACCAACAGUUACUCCAAGAUAGAUAGAUAGAUAGAUAGAUAGAUAGAUAGAUAGAUAGAUAUGUACUGGAUUGCCAACCAUUCCUGGGUGAAGUUAUGAUGGCUUGCCAGGCACAUUAACUGGUAUAAAUAUUUAAUAUGAGGGUUUAAAUAAAGCAGUCAUGAUUAUAUUCCAUCUUAUGCUACCAGUGAGAAAUGGAUGGAGUGCUAGUGUUUGCUUACUAUAAGUUUGUUGGCUGCCUCUUUUAUCUUCUCCACUUUGGCUUCUGAGAGUCCCUUAACAUUGCAUAGUGCCCGCCUAGUUGUCAUCUGAAUUCCUUUGAUUGUACAAAUUCCCACUGUUUUCAGCUUUUUAAUAUCAGCCACAUUCUGUGAAGGACAUAAAAAGGAUUAGAACUCUUGAUGUUCAUGAGAUGUUACAUACAUCAGGGAGGUUAAUAAACCAAAAUCUUGUUCCUCACUAAAAUUAGGAGGGCUUAGAAAUGGUUUUUGGUGCAGGUUUUCUAAUUAUAUUUAUUUUUAUCUCAUUUUAAUCAAUAAAUGUAAGUGUAUCUUGA